CGUGUAGGCGGCCAGACAAGUCGGGUGUGAAAGCCCACGGCUCAACCGUGGAAGGGCACUCGAAACUGCUUGGCUAGAGUCCUGGAGAGGAAGGUGGAAUACUCGGUGUAGAGGUGAAAUUCGUAGAUAUCGAGUGGAACACCGGUGGCGAAGGCGGCCUUCUGGACAGUGACUGACGCUGAGACGCGAAAGCGUGGGGAGCAAACAGGAUUAGAUACCCUGGUAGUCCACGCCGUAAACGAUGAGUGCUAGGUGUCACGGGCUUUGACCCUCGUGGUGCCGAAGCUAACGCGUUAAGCACUCCGCCUGGGGAGUACGGCCGCAAGGCUAAA
This 332-nucleotide ribosomal RNA is filed under the name uncultured Phaselicystis sp. RNAcentral describes it as "bacterial SSU rRNA". It matches the Rfam family "Bacterial small subunit ribosomal RNA", at positions 568 to 898 of the family's 1533-position model. Lineage: Bacteria; Pseudomonadati; Myxococcota; Polyangiales; Phaselicystidaceae. The record is from RNAcentral.